ACGACAGUGGAUUGCGGCCUAACACAUGCAAGUCGAGGGGCAAAAAGAAGUCAGCUUGCUGACUUUGAUGGCGACCGGCGCACGGGUGAGUAACGCGUAUCCAACCUACCCCAUAGUAGGGCAUAGCCCGUAGAAAUGCGGAUUAAUACCCUAUGUUUUCCGAAGAGGACAUCUGACUUGGAACAAAGAUUCAUCGCUAUGGGAUGGGGAUGCGUCCGAUUAGCUUGUUGGCGGGGUGACGGCCCACCAAGGCGACGAUCGGUAGGGGUUCUGAGAGGAAGGUCCCCCACACUGGUACUGAGACACGGACCAGACUCCUACGGGAGGCAGCAGUGAGGAAUAUUGGUCAAUGGGCGAGAGCCUGAACCAGCCAAGUAGCGUGCAGGAAGACGGCCCUACGGGUUGUAAACUGCUUUUAUCAGGGGAUAAAAGUGUGGGACGCGUCCCUCAUUGCAGGUACCUGAUGAAUAAGGACCGGCUAAUUCCGUGCCAGCAGCCGCGGUAAUACGGAAGGUCCGGGCGUUAUCCGGAUUUAUUGGGUUUAAAGGGAGCGCAGCGGGUGCUUAAGCGUGCUGUGAAAUGUACCGGCUCAACCGGUGACGUGCAGCGCGAACUGGGUGCCCUUGAGUGAGUGCGAGGUAUGCGGGAAUUCGUGGUGUAGCGGUGAAAUGCUUUAGAUAUCACGAAGAACCC
This 693-nucleotide ribosomal RNA is filed under the name uncultured rumen bacterium. Its description in RNAcentral is "bacterial SSU rRNA". It matches the Rfam family "Bacterial small subunit ribosomal RNA", at positions 33 to 709 of the family's 1533-position model. The record is from RNAcentral.